Molecule: ribosomal RNA, 452 nt
Filed under: uncultured organism
Description: partial 16S ribosomal RNA
Rfam family: Bacterial small subunit ribosomal RNA
Source: RNAcentral
CGUACACUCCUACGGGAGGCAACAGUGGGGAAUAUUGGACAAUGGGCGCAAGCCUGAUCCAGCCAUGCCGCGUGAGUGAUGAAGGCCCUAGGGUUGUAAAGCUCUUUCACCGGUGAAGAUAAUGACGGUAACCGGAGAAGAAGCCCCGGCUAACUUCGUGCCAGCAGCCGCGGUAAUACGAAGGGGGCUAGCGUUGUUCGGAUUUACUGGGCGUAAAGCGCACGUAGGCGGACUAUUAAGUCAGGGGUGAAAUCCCGGGGCUCAACCCCGGAACUGCCUUUGAUACUGGUAGUCUUGAGUUCGAGAGAGGUGAGUGGAAUUCCGAGUGUAGAGGUGAAAUUCGUAGAUACUCGGAGGAACACCAGUGGCGAAGGCGGCUCACUGGCUCGAUACUGAAGCUGAGGUUCGAAAGCGUGGGGAGCAAACAGGAUUAGAUACCCUUGUAGUCCCAU